Molecule: RNA transcript, 4797 nt
Organism: Strigops habroptila (Kakapo)
Lineage: Eukaryota; Metazoa; Chordata; Aves; Psittaciformes; Psittacidae
Gene: MFN1
Gene name: mitofusin 1
Exons: 18
Source: RefSeq, a predicted model, not a curated record
CCCCGCGGGUGGCUUGUCCGGCUGUUCCGCGCGGGGCAGCGGGCACCUCCCACCCUCCAUUUCGCCUGUCCCCGCUCCCCCGCUGCCCUCGCUGAAGAUGGCGGCCGCCCCCUUGGGCCCUCAGUAAAAAUGGCAUCCCCCUUCCCCCGCCAGGCGGAUCCGGGAGCGGGUUGAGGCGGAAGCGGAAGUGAUGUCCUCCCCCGUCCCGGCGGCGGCGGGCCAGGAGGAGGUGGCGGCGGGGAGGGCCCCGCGAGCGGCGCGGCGGUUGCCGAGUAACGGCGGAAACCAGCCCGGGCUCAUUGCACAAUGGCAGAAGCUACCGUCUCUCCCCUGAAGCACUUUGUGCUGGCUAAAAAGACAAUCACUGCCAUUUUCGACCAGCUGCUGGACUACGUCACUGAGGGAGCAACUUUUGUGGAAGCAACAUACAGGAACCCAGAGCUUGAGCAUGUAGCAACAGAAGACGAACUAGCAAAAAUACAGGCAUAUAAAAAUAAGUUAGCGGUCAUCGGUGAGGUGCUUUCACGGAGACACAUGAAAGUGGCAUUUUUUGGCAGAACGAGCAGUGGGAAAAGUUCGGUUAUUAAUGCAAUGCUGUGGGAUAAGGUACUUCCUAGUGGGAUUGGCCAUACAACUAACUGCUUUCUUAGCGUGGAAGGGACAGAUGGAGAGAAGGCUUAUCUUAUGACAGAAGGAUCAGAUGAAAAGAAGAGUGUCAAGACAGUCAAUCAGCUUGCUCAUGCACUUCACAUGGAUAAAGAUUUGAAAGCUGGCUGUCUCGUCCAUGUCUUCUGGCCCAAGUCAAAGUGUGCUCUGCUGAGAGAUGAUUUGGUUUUAGUGGACAGCCCUGGCACAGAUGUCACUACAGAACUGGACAGCUGGAUUGACAAAUUCUGCUUAGAUGCUGAUGUGUUUGUCUUGGUUGCCAAUUCUGAAUCAACUCUCAUGAACACGGAAAAGCAUUUUUUCCAUAAAGUGAAUGAACGACUUUCCAAGCCAAACAUCUUCAUCUUGAAUAACAGAUGGGAUGCCUCUGCAUCAGAACCAGAAUAUAUGGAAGAUGUGCGCAGGCAGCACAUGGAGCGCUGUCUGACUUUCCUAGUUGACGAGCUCAAAGUUAUUGAUCCUGUAGAAGCGAGGAAACGCAUCUUUUUUGUUUCUGCAAAAGAAGUUCUGAGUGCCAGGAGACAGAAGGCCCAAGGAAUGCCAGAGGGUGGUGCAGCACUUGCUGAAGGGUUUCAAACAAGAUUCCAGGAAUUUCAACAUUUUGAGCAGAUAUUUGAGGAGUGUAUCUCGCAGUCAGCCGUGAAAACCAAGUUUGAACAGCACACUAUCAGAGCUAAACAGAUAAUAGAUACUGUGAAAAACAUUAUGGACGCCAUAAACGUAGCAGCAGCAGAGAAAAGAGUCCAGUCAAUGGAAGAGCGAGAAGAUCAGAAGGAUAGACUGGACUUCGUUCGAAAUCAGCUGAACAUCUUGACAGAAGAUACUAAGGAAAAAAUCAAACGUGUUACUGAGGAAGUAGAAAGUAAAGUCUCCUCUGCCAUGACUGAUGAGAUUUGCAGACUUUCGGUUUUAGUUGAUGAAUUUUAUUCAGAUUUUCACCCUUCUCCUCAAGUACUGAAGCUCUAUAAGACAGAACUGAACAAACAUAUAGAAGAUGGUUUGGGAAGGAACCUGGCUGAUCGUUGCUCCAGUGAAGUCAAUGAGUCAAUGCAUCAGUCACAGCAGGAGAUGAUUGAAAAUCUGAAACCGUUGUUGCCUUCUGGUGCUCAGAAUCAGCUCCACUUGCUAAUUCCUUGCAGGAGGUUUGACCUUAGCUAUGAUCUGAACUGUCAUAGUCUGUGUGCAGAUUUUCAAGAGGAUAUCAUGUUCCACUUUUCCUUGGGAUGGACUUCACUUGUAAACCGUUUCUUGGGUGCUAAACAAGCUCAGAAAGUACUGUUGGGACUAGCAGAUCCAAACUUACAAAUCCCUCGUCCUUUAGCUACCACCCCGUCUACUGCCAGCCUUCCUGCCAUGACUCCGGAGAAUGUAUCGCAGGAUGAUUUUAUGGUUCCUUUGGUAAUGAGUUUAGCUUCCCUGACAUCACGGACCUCUAUGAGCAUCAUCGUUGUUGGCGGAGUGAUUUGGAGAACAGUUGGCUGGAAACUCAUCUCUCUUUCCUUAAGUAUGUAUGGGUUGUUAUAUCUUUAUGAGAGACUCACUUGGACCACUAAAGCAAAAGAGAGAGCCUUUAAACAGCAGUUUGUAAACUAUGCUACUGAAAAGCUGCAGAUGAUCGUCAGUCUCACAAGUGCUAAUUGUAGCCAUCAGGUGCAACAGGUGCAGAACACCUCUCCUGUGUAGCCCAGGGAAUACUUUACUAAUACAGAGUUCAGCUUCUGCAGAGGAAGGAGAAUCAUCCAUGUGUCCAGCAGCUGUGUGUCUCUGUGAGGACAUGGAAGAGCUGGACUCAAACCAGUGCUCCAGUGAGGUGAAGUAGAGAGGAGAGGACGUGUCUCCUCUCCUAUGGGCGAGCCUGCUUGCUGGCUCAGGGUGGUAACUGGUUUUUGUUUUCCCUUUGUGUAAGGAGGAGUCUUGGAACUCAGGUUGGGAGCACAUGGCUGAGGAGGCAGCUAAGACCUCAGCCUGCACAGUGCCCACGUUCCCGGUGUGCAGGGCACUUGGUGUGGCACAGGGCACUGCAGAAGGGGCACUCAGCUGCUCCAGCACGUGUGGCUGCCAGAGUCCCCCUCUCAGGCUUGUACCUGUUAAUGCUCAGUGAAAAGUGGCCAGACAUGAUGUGGGCAUAGGCAUUUUGCAUGUUUAAGGUUUCUUUUUGAAUUAAAAAAAAAUACAUAAUUCUCCUGCUUUCUGCUAUUCUGUAGUCUCUUUAACAGCGGGAGACUUAGAUUGCUGUGUUCUACUGCACACGGCAAUGCCAUCAGAUUUUAAAAUCUUUAUUUCAUUUCUUAAGGUUUUUAUUUCAUACCACAGACUUCUGUAAAUCAUGAUUACAAACUUGCUUUCCCUUUAGGGAAAUGGCCACUACCUUUGCUCGGCUCUGUCAGCAGGUGGAUAUUACCCAGAAAAACCUGGAAGAAGAAAUUGCUAGGCUUUCCAAAGAAAUAGAUCAGCUGGAGAACAUACAGAGCAGCUCCAAGCAGCUGAGAAAUAAAGCCAUUCACCUUGAGAAUGAACUAGAUGGCUUCACCAGACACUUUCUUCAAAAGAGCAAAUAAAACAUCGUUGCCAACUUUCCCAGUGAUCCUUUGUAGGACAAGGUAGAAAUUUUGCAAAUGAUACUUCUCCUCUGUGGAGUCACAUGAAAUGAUUUAUAUUUUAGAUGUUACUUUGAUUACAUUUGUUAAUUAUUCUGAAACUUUGACGGUAAAUCAAACUGAAGAGCUGUGGUUCUCUUGAGUGUUACAUUUGUUUUGCAGAUUUGAGGUUAAAAAUUAUCUUUAAACACUAAAUUUCUUUUGAAACACUUGACAAUAAAAACCAAAAUCCUUACUGGUUUUCAUUAGUAUUUAGCAGUGGCAAGUCUCACUUCCUGGCAUCCAGGAGUUUAUGCAGGGAGAGAGAGCUUAUCACGGUUACCACUGUCUCCGGGUUUUGGUUGCUUAGGAAUUAUCUGGGGAUGGAGGAUGCUGCUUUUUCAUGUGUGUGUUUGUUUAAGGAUGGGAGAUACAAACUCUAGCAUGGGGAAGGACUCUUGACUUGUUUUGAAAGCAAGUGAAAUUGUGUUGGGCAGCAGUUCCUCUUCUGUAAAUGGAAGUGAAAGCUGGUAGUGAAGUGCAGAGCCUUCACUAAUGAAAUGCAGUAGGCUCUAGUUUCCCCUCUGGCCACCACAUUUAGACAAGAUGGCAUUGCUUAAGUAAAAAUAACCUAUUUCAACAAAUAUGUCAGCUCCCUUGCAGCUGGUGAAGCAGUGAAAUGGCCAUUUGCCUGUGAGAGCACCCCUUGGGGUGAGCUGCAGGUGCCUGUUGAUGCCACCCAGCUCUUGUCCAGGCAAAGAGAACUUGCUGAGCAGGUGGUCUGGACCUAAAUGUUGCAUGUUGGGUGGGGAAGCUGGGGCUGUGGGCCUUGACCUUUAGCUCCUGCUGCUGGAUUCCCAGCACAGGGAAAGGCUGGGUUUGACAGUUCAUACUCAGGAACCAUCCUGCACAGUCCUUGGUUGGGCUGUAGCCCAGCUCUCUCCUAGGUGCGACACAAGGCAGGCGUGCUGCAGUACCCACCUCUGCUCAUGCCCAGCAAUGCAAAGCCUCUUUAAAAAAGAAAAAAAGCACAUUUUUGCUGUUGCACCUGCACUCAUUAAUUUUUCUAACUGGACUUUUUAACAAUAACUUAUUUUAAGAGAGAAAGCCUUUUCAGAAUAUUUAUAUAUUUUUAUGGAACUGUUAAUGUGACUAAAUGAAAUUCAACUUUAAAACCAAGAUGUAGGGAUUUGCUGUUUUCCAGUAAACAAGGGCUAUCUUAAAAGGAAAUAGAUUUAAAAUGUAAUGGUAGAGCCAGGUCGUUGUUGGCAGGCGAAGCAUGCCCCUUUCACCACGCUGUACCUUGGUGUUUGUGUCCGACUGUGCUAGCACAAGCGCAGCUCUCCUGGACCUGUCAGUAGCAGCACGUGUGAGGAGCCUCCAGGCUUUCGAGGGAAACUGAACUACAGCACUGAGUGACAGCCCAGCCUUGUUGUGUGUAAGGUUACAGAUGUGUGUUAAUGCUCUUUCCCUGGAGCGUUUAAUGGACAUUGUAUGAAGAUAAAACUUGACAUGCAUGUGUUCUAGAGUUAUUUAUUAAAAACGGUACUACCCC